Molecule: ribosomal RNA, 1482 nt
Filed under: uncultured Bordetella sp.
Lineage: Bacteria; Pseudomonadati; Pseudomonadota; Betaproteobacteria; Burkholderiales; Alcaligenaceae
Description: partial 16S-23S ribosomal RNA intergenic spacer
Rfam family: Bacterial small subunit ribosomal RNA
Source: RNAcentral
UUUGAUUCUGGCUCCAGAUUGAACGCUGGCGGGAUGUAAGCGCUUUACGCCGGUCAGACGGCAGCACGGACUUCGGUCUGGUGGCGAGUGGCGAACGGUGAGUAAUGUAUCGGAACGUGCCUAGUAGCGGGGAUAACUACGCGAAAGCGUAGCUAAUGCCGCAUACGCCCUUCGGGGAAGCAGAGACCUUCGGGCCUCGCACUAUUAGAGCGGCCGAUAUCGGAUUAGCUAGUUGGUGGGGUAACGGCUCACCAAGGCGACGAUCCGUAGCUGGUUUGAGAGGACGACCAGCCACACUGAGACUGGGAACACAGCCCAGACUCCUACGGGAGGCAGCAGUGGGGAAUUUUGGACAAUGGAAACCCUGAUCCGGCCAUCCGCGUGCGAUGAAGGCCUUCGGGUUGUAAAGCACUUUUGGCAGGAAAGAAACGGCACGGGAUAAUACCCCGUGCAACUGACGGUACCUGCAAGAAUGGCACCGGCUAACUGGUAUUGCAGCAUUAUGAUGAUAAACAUGCAGGUGUAAGCGUUAAUCCAGAUUACUGGGCGUAAAGCGUGCGCGAGCGGUUCGGAAAGAAAGAUGUGAAAUCCCAGAGCUUAACUUUGGAACUGCAUUUUUAACUUUACCGAGCUAGAGUGUGUCAGAGAGGUGGAAUUCCGCGUGUGGCAGUGAAAUGCGUAGAUAUGCGGAGGAACACCGAUGGCGAAGGCGGCCUCCUGGAAUAACACUGACGCUCAUGCACGAAAGCGUGGGAGCAAACAGGAUUAGAUACCCUGGUAGUCCACACUUUCAAACGAUGUCAACUAGCUGUUGGGGCCUUCAGGCCUUGGUAGCGCAGCUAACGCGUGAAGUUGACCGCCUGGGGAAUGCGGUCGCAAAGAUUAAAACUCAAGGAAUUGACGGGGACCCGCACAAGCGGUGGAUGAUGUGGAUUAAUUCGAUGCAACGCGAAAAACCUUACCUACCCUUGACAUGUCUGGAAUCGAGAUUUGGGAGUGCUCGCAAGAGAACCGGAACACAGGUGCUGCAUGGCUGACAUCGUCAGCUCGUGUCGUGAGAUGUUGGGUUAAGUCCCGCAACGAGCGCAACCCUUGUCAUUAGUUGCUACGAAAGGGCACUCUAAUGAGACUGCCGGUGACAAACCGGAGGAAGGUGGGGAUGACGUCAAGUCCUCAUGGCCCUUAUGGGUGAGGCUUCACACGUCAUACAAUGGUCGGGACAGAGGGUCGCCAACCCGCGAGGGGGAGCCAAUCCCAGAAACCCGAUCGUAGUCGGAUCGCGAUCUGCAACUCGACUGCGUGAAGUCCAGAAUCGCUAAGUAAUCGCGGAUCAGCAUGUCGCGGUGAAUACGUUCCAGGUCUUGUACACACCGCCCGUCACACCAUGGAGUGGGUUUUUACCAGAAGUAGUUAGCCCUAACCGUAAGGAGAGGCGAUUACCACGGUAGGAUUCAUGACUGGGGUGAAGUCGUAACAAGGUAG